This is a long non-coding RNA of Astatotilapia calliptera (eastern happy), 1622 nucleotides long. The record is from Ensembl. NCBI's taxonomy places the organism in Eukaryota, Metazoa, Chordata, Actinopteri, Cichliformes, Cichlidae.
CCCACACCACAGACAAGCACACCUGCAGGUGCAGGUUCACCCCCACGUUCACCGUUUGACAUCAUGGAAGUGCCCGCAGGGCACUCACAUCCCAGCUCCAGCGUUCCAGUCUUCCCAGUGUCUGAAUGCACUCAUGUCCAGUUCAUCUGAACGCCAGCUUGUUCCAGUGCAGCUUGGGGAAUCUGUAGUUCAGUAGUCGUCACAGUAGUCGUCCUGUUUCUUCUUCUUUUCUUAUUUUUUGGUAAUGACGCCCCGACAGGCAGAGCGGUGGUCGCCUCCAGGAUCCCGGCCGCCGUACUGAGCGCGCCGCAUCACACACCGACGCGUUACAGGCCAGAUGCAUGAAGGAAACACUCGCUUUGUGCUGUUCGUAUUCAACUCCGAUAUUCAAACUGAGCUUCAAACACCGCCCGACCCCUCCACCUCACACCACACUUUUAAUGGAGUCGGGUCGUUUCUGUCCGUUUCUCUGUAACUUUGAACGAUUCUGUUUUGUGCGGUGGUUGGUCAGGUGUGCAAAGGUGUGCGAGUGGGCGGGGUUUGAUCUCAUUGGGACGUGUUAUAGGUGAAUGAAUCACUUUCAGAGUUUCUGCCUUCAACGUCCAAGUCUGCUCAUAUCUGAGCGAGCUGAAGGAAGAAAACGAGCGUCCACGAUCACCUGUCGCUCUCUGAAGGGUCAGCUGAUUCCCCGCGGCUCGAGACCGUGGAGAAAACGCCGCUGCGGGAACUAAAGGACGGCCAAGUACCACUAGCUCAAUGAUAAAACCCCGAAGCUGACCUAGGCUCAUACUCAGGAAAUAUUUCAGUGACAUUCACAGCGCGCUCCUCUUCCUGGAGCUCCACACCUACAUUCAGACUCCGCCUUUCCUCACCUGCAGUGCAAAAAUCGUACCAAAGGUUUCAGCGUACACGAGAUCGACGAACGGGGAGCGGUUUGCGAGGACUCAUCUUCAGGAUCGGGCCAAACUCACAAAAGUCGCUCAGUGCAAAUAUGAAAGUAAACAACUUUACACGACGGCGCAGCAGACGGCGGACGUCUCCGAGCCAAUCAGACGAGAGCUGCUCACGCUUCAGCGGCAGCGCGAACAUCACAAGGACGUCAUCCUCAACCCAGAAAGCUAACAUCGCCGUCUGGCUGCUCAGCGAUGACAUCAAAAGAGAGGCGGAGUCUCCACAUCCCCGGCCCCUCCCCUGUCGACUCCCCGUGAGCCGAUCAGAGAGCUCAAAGGAGGGUGGAUCAUCUGAAACCCGCCCGGAUGCGGGACUGAGCGGAGGGAGCCGAUUGGCUGAAGUCUGAGAGUUCAGCUUGAUUUUUGAACAUCCUUCAGUGUUCGAGUCCGAGAAACAAAGAAAAGGAAAGAACUGCAGAGAGAGAAGAAGAGGAGACGCCGUCAUCACUACAGUGCACACUUAUCUGUGUUAGCUUAGCAUCAACAGUCUAACACAAAAACCUAAUCAUGAAUGUAAUCUCAUUACUUCUGUCUGUAAGGAAAUCAGUUGUUUAAGGUGAAAAAAUAAUAAAAUUCUGUGACAAACUAAAAGAAACAAACUGUCAUGCUAACAGAGCAUCUGCGUCCUGUUAGCAGUUAUUAAUAAAGCACAGUGAUCAUCACUGGGAACUG